CUUGUAUGUGCCUGUUCCAGGUGAGUCCUUCCUCAUUCUCACCCUCCUGCCUGGCUUCCCCACCCUGAAGGAGCUACAAGGAGCAUGGAGAGAGACGAUUUAUGAGGGAGUGUGAAACAAGCACUGGAUGCUUGAUAUCCCUUCAUACCAGUAUGUGAGGAGCACUGGAAAUGAGGCCUGGAGCUUUCCCUGCAGCUGGGUCACUGCCUGAACAGCGAAGCUCCGGUGCAUGUAGUAGAAAAUGGAAUGAAUCACUUGAUGCCGGAUAAGAUGGUCUUCAUCUCCUGAAUUCUCAGAAUUAGAGCCAAAACCAGAUGGUUUAGGAUUUGGCAGGCUGUGGGCAGCCCGUGUUGUUCUGGGUGUCAGUUAAUCCAAAGGACAAUGACUACAUCAGUCCAGUUAUACCUGGGAACCACCUCAAAGCCAAAGGGAAGGCCUGAGAGUGCACAGGAGAUGUUUGAGGCAUAGCAGAAGGAAAUAAUGAAUGACAGUGUUUGUGGGGAAUCACUGAGCACCCCAGGAGAUUAAAGAUGGGACUUUAAAACUAUUCCAGUCUACAACAAGAAGGCACUUUCUGCAGUACUUGUGGGUGAAUUGUGGCUUCUUGAAGUCAUGGAGAUAACAAGAAUAUUUAGGUAUUACCAUAAGGAUUUUGUGAAAGAUGAACUCCACAGGAAAAGCAGAAUUUUUCAGUGGCUUUGCUAAGAUGGAAACAGGAAAUCAUCUUUUUAUUCUAAAAAUAAACUGAGUAAUGCAAGUCACGUUGUUCUGCAUGAGCAGCAAGGAUGAUUUCAGUUUGAAAGCUCUCUUCACAGUCUCUGAAACUGAAAUCUUGAAAGUCCCUCUUGCUGAACAGUCAGACUUUCCAUAACUAAUGCAGCCAUUGCGCCCGUGAGCAUCACACUGCAGGUUCUGCUCCCACUGCUUUAACUCGGUGAAUUCAUCUUUCUUGUCCUUGAAUCCUUGCUGGUGUUGCCAGUUUGAUUUCAGACUGUUGGAGCCUUGGGCUAAACAAGUCCCAGCUCAGGAGUGAGGCUCUGGCUGUGUGUCCUCACAGCAGCAUGGACACAGCUUCUGCCAGAGCCACUGCUCUAAAGCCCUGUCAGAGACACUGCUCUCAGCUCCAGCCUUGGCAAGGACAAACCAAAACAGAAACUCCUCUAACAAGCCAAAGAUAUCAGGGAAAUAGUCCCUAGAUUUCAUUUUCCCUGGAAAGGACAGAACUAAGGUGUCAGGAGCAAAGGUAGAUCUGCAAACCACUCUCCUUCAUUGCUUCAAAAUAGCAACAGCAUGGAAAAAGGGAUUGAUGGCAAGACAGUGAGGAGUACCACUGGCUAACGCAAAUCUGCACCCAGAAUAUUUUCCUCUUUAAUAAAAUAACUGACAAAGCAAAUCUGGAAUCCAUUUAACAAUGGGUGAGAUGGUGACUCUCAUGCCAAGACUGUCGUGUUCCCUCUGGGUUACUCCAAACCUCUGCGGCCCCCACAUCCUGAAUUUGGUACAAACUCCCACACAGCUUGGCACUUGGGCUCACUGAGGAGCAGACCUGGACAAUGAGAGCUAAAAAGUUCCUUUUUCCAGCAAUGGGCUGUGACAGAUCUGUGCACUCCACCUAUCAGCCAUGGGGGGACAACGUGCAACCACCACUCCUUGAUCUGGGAAACCAAACAUAGAAUUCCUGCCAGCUUGAAAAUUAAUGCUUGAACCCCGGUGAAAAUCCAGUAAAGAAGCAGAAGAGGUUGUAGCCCAAUUUGUCUAUACAUUAUGUUUGUUAUUUAGUUCCUACUUAAAUAAUAACUCACCCAGGUUUUGAGCAGCCCAAUGAGCAUGGGAUGAAUCAGUGGAGGACAACCAGGGACUGUCAGACAUCAGUUCAGUAGCAGACUGGAGACCAAGAGAAGCCAAAUGUGGAAAGUACAAUGGUUUAUACACAAAUACAGGCAUAGGCCAAAGGUACAGGAGAAAAGUGCUUUAAAAGUCACAUUAUCUUUGGGUUGCCCCAUUAAAUGUUUACUUUCACUGUAGUUGUAGGCAGCAGGAUGACACCAGAGAACAGGAGUUCUGUCAGUGUCCAAGUGUCUCUUCCCAAGUAUUCCUGUGUGGAGCUGAGGAGACAACAGCUGUUGGGGAGAACUGCAGUCAGGAGAUGAAGCAAAUUACAUUGUCCAACUACCGGUGCCAGUAAAUGUGGAUACAACCAAGACUCUCCUCCUCAUGAAGCUGGGGAUAAUUUUACAAUCAAUAGAAGUUGCAGAAGCUGCACAUCCUUCAAAUUGUUGUCUGAAGGUAGGACAAGGGAGUCUUUCUUCAAAAAUGCCUUAAAUGUUGGAUCUUAAUCUGAACUGAUGUCUCCUGGCUCUUGCAGACUUCCCUGCUCCUGUAUAGACUCUAAUGAGGAGCUGAGAUGUUUGCUGUGAAAUUUCAUCACUGAAAGGAUCGUGAAAAAGUUGAAAUGCUGUGAUCCUUGGGAAAAUGUUUGCACAUCUUUGUGAUUCUCUUUUCUUGACAUUUCUAUGCUUUUUGUCCGAAGGAAUGUACCAGGAAUGUGUAGUCUGUGUCCAUGGGCUUCCAUUAAAGUCUCUGAAUAAAUGCUAAAGGAUGCUUCAAGGCAGAUAUGUUGUUAGGCACUGUUAAGUCUGAUUUUCUUCAAUAUCAGCUGAAGCUCUGAUUAUUUCCUUUUCAAAAGCAAAAGGUCAAUAGAAAGUAAGCAGACAUUCCUAUUAAUACAACUGUAGCGUUUCCUUGUUGCCAUGGUUUUGUGUGUGUAAAUGAUGAUAAAACAAGCACUUACAUUGAAAAGGGCAGUUCAGCACUAGACAGGAGCAGGCACCACAAAAAAGUUUCCUUGGUGUAGGUAAGUAGUCCUUAUUUAAAAGCAACUUUUAUUUGGCUGGUGUGCAGAGCUCCGUCUUCAUAAAUGUUUAAUCCCAGGGCUAUCAAACCUUCCUUGACCUCGUGGUUUACAGUAAAUGGGGGGGAAAAAAGGAGCAAGAUGUUCCUUUGUAGAAAAUCAAACUUAGAGAACAUGGCUGGAGCUGCAAAUAUUUCACUGUCAUUUUAGAAACUUUGACAGAAAUUUAUUAAGGUGGAACUUUUCUGGAACAUUCCUCAAUCUCUACAGCCAAAGACUUGAGAAGAUAAUAGAUGAGUGUAAAUCCAGGAUUUUCCAGGGGAUUCCUGAGAUGGCUCCUGUAAUGCAGCAUGGAAGAACAACACAACCAAAGUGGUGUUAGAGACACAGCAAGGUUAUGCUCACCCCACAGGCCAGCAACUCCUGUCACCUUCCACAUAAAUAGGUUUUAAGGUAAAUCACUUCAUUGCAACUUUUUUUUCUUAGUGUUUUCUCUUCCUUUGCAGAGGAUUGUAAUGGAAUGGGUUGUGAGGCAGAUCUGGCUUGGUCUGUGCUUCAGGUGAUGGGGAGCUUUGCUUUCUAAAGCUUUGUUUGGAAUGGUGAGUGAGAGGUGAAUAAUUGCCAGUGGAUGUUAAGCAAGAAAGGGUUAGGGCCACAUUUUCGUAUAUCCCAAAUUGUUUGAGGAUAGAGUUCAAAUUGCUGACAUCUUUUGGAAAUCUGGUUGCAAGUAGCCUCUCCCCAUUUCCUUCAUCCCUCUUCAUAUAUCUCCAUGUGUCACCUGCCCACUGUGGUUGUUCCUGGAGCAGAAGAGAUGGGAGAUGCAAGGAGAGGGCACAACUGGCUUCCCAGGGGAGCAGAGUGUUAGUGAUAAUGAAAUAGAUGAUUCCUGGGGAGAUCAGACUCUCUUUGAAUGCCUGAACAGGACCCCACUGUGUAUUUUAGCAUGGGAGAAUCGGAACCCCAACUCUCUCUCUCUUUUUUUUUUUUUUUCCAAAAAGGAAAACAAGAACAACAAAAAAAGAGAUUUUGACAAGCUGUUGGCAGAUUUUAAGUUUCCUGCUCUAGAAUAAAUUGAGGCAACUGUUUUUUAGCCUGCCAUAUUUCCAGUUAUUAAACUGUGUGUGGUCUGUACCAAUGCUCACCACCAGAGAGCCCUUCAUUGUGGGUUUCAUAUGGGGCACCUGCAGUGCCGGGGAGCCUUUGAGGGGCGGGUGGGUCGGACCCUCCCAGGGCUGUGGGACCCUCCCAGGGCUGUGAGCCACAUCCCCGGGCUGGUUCACAGACACAAGGAUGUGCCGGGCAUGCUUGGAAGUUCAAGCUCAGUGAACUGAGACCUUGGAGAACAAUUGCCCCGGCUGGCAGCACCGUCCUGGGAAGGCCUCUGAGGCUGCCCUUCCUCAGAAACGCCCCAGCCUCUCCCCAGCCGCCCUCUCUUUAGACGUUCACAAGUUUUCCUGACAAAAGAGCAAUUACAAGCUGACAGCAACAGCUCACAAAGAGGAUGGGGAUGACCCCGAGGAGCAGUUUCUGCAGCUCAACACAUGGCCAGUCACCGACAAAGCCGGCCCGCUCCCAUUUGAUCCCAGAAGAGCCUCCCAGACUGGCACGCUUGACCAAGAACUGGCUGGGUGACUCAUUCGUCUGGCGGCUCUGUGAUUCAUGAGCCUCCAGGAGGAAGGGAGGAGGGAGGCAAAAGCUUUUCAAAUCUCGAGUUAAAUGCAAGAGAAACACAUUCCCCACAAAGCAGACGCUCGGCUGUGUCCAAUUGGUGCCGGAAUGCCCACACAAAGCCAGGGCAGCAGUCCUGGUGUGACGCACGGCGAGGCUCCGGGGCCAGCCCCACCGCGGCCUGCACCUUCCCAGCUCUGUGGUUUGGAAGGCCUCGAGUGUAAAAACAGCAAUCGUUCCUUACGUCUUAUCCUUGUGUGCUCUGUGCAUCCUGGCCCUGGGAUUUCCCCAGGAACAUCCCACUUGUCAGUGCUUUGGAGUUGAUAUUGAGGGCUUUGACCUGAUAUUCAGGUCAAAAAAACCUCAAAUGAAUUUGUCCAGUUGAAAUUAAACUUCUGAUCUGCACCAAUAAUUUUGGCUCCCUCUCGUAUCUGUGAAGCAUGUCCCCAGGCAGGAGUGCCAUCCUCAGAGGUGUUCACAGGAGGCAGGACGGUCUCCAAGAUCACAGAAGAACCUCACCAGCUGACCUGACUGACCGUCCCUCUCUUCAGUGACAAGGGACAGAGGAGGAGAGUCCAGCCCUGGCAUCAAGGAGGGCCUUCCCUCAGUGUUGUCUGAGCCCUGCCAGGAGCUGUGGGUGGUGCCGAGUGUUCACUGGAAUGCUGGUGCUCCCAGCCACCAUUCCCCUCCCAGGCAGCAUUUUAUUUAUUGUUAUUUGUUGCUUCAGACAUAUGGGUCAAAAUGUGAAAUUAUUUAGCAGCUGUUGUCAGAUGGAUUUUAAAACAAUUAACGAGUGCUAAAAAUGGGCAGCUUACUUUCUCUCUUGGAUUUUGCCAAAGAAAGUGCCUGUUUUCUGUUUGUUUGCCAGCAGUUUGUGUCUCCUGCUGCUGUGGCCACGUCUGGCCUUGGAGCACGUUUUUCUCUCAGUGAGUGCCAGCUGCCUGAACCAUGGCCCAGCUGGCCUGGGUGGGGGCUUGGAACACCCCAGGGUUUUGGGUUUUUUUUUGCUUUUCUUGUGUUGUUACUGUGAUCCUGGGCACCCUGCAUCACCCACCUGCCAUGGCUGGAUUCCACCACUCCACAUCCGCACUGGGGACACAAUGCAGGACCUACUAAAGACCAGCACCAAAGGAGCUUAGGGGCUUCCCUCCCUGGGACCACCAAGACAGCUCUGAAGGAUGCAGAGAAUUGAUGGUGACCCAAAGCACUGACUGAAUGGAAGAGGGAACCUGCCCAGCUCAGGCCAUCUGGGAAUGUAAACCACACUGACCAAGGAAACUUGAGGAUAUUGCUAGUGAAUGCAGAAAGAAAAGAACAGGAAUAUGGGGAAAGCAGGAGUGACUUUACCUCUGUGAAGACCCCUGCCACCGCAGAUCAAGGGCUAAUCUUUUCAGGCAGUACUGGUCGGCUGGAUCUGCUUCCCACACCAGCAAUAACGUGUUCUGAAUGAGUGGAGGGAGAUUCUGACCACCAUUCUGCCAGAGCCUACUUGGUUGAAGACUGCUGAGUCUUAGGAAAUCGGUCUGAAAGGAAUUAAUUCAGUGCUUCGAGGUACAUGGCAUCAUCAGGAUUUCAUUCCAUCACUGGAAGCAACAGAGGGAUGGAGUCAGUCAGGUGGGCAUCUGUAGAAAAUGGACUUUCAAGGCAUUUUUUCUCAUCAUUGUGGGAUUGCUGAGUCACCCACAGCAAAUGGAAAAUGUCCCAGGACAUUUAAAGGUGAUUUUAGAUCAUCUGAACUGCCACAUUAAGCUGGGAAAAUAAAUACAUGGCAAAGCAUGAGAAGACCAGAGUGCUCCAGGUGAGGACAGCAGUUGGCUCUAAGGAGCCCCUGGGGGCUCCAAUGAUCCUGCAGGUCCCAGCUGGCUGAGAGGAGCCCGAGUGACCCUAUAGAUGAAGGAGUUUGGUGUCAAUGCAGCAGCCUGACCUCUGAUGUUUUAGGGUUUGAGAUCCCUGCUGGUCUAAUCAAAAAUUCUAAUAUCUUAGUUCUUCAAAGUCUCACCGCUGGUAUGUGAGGUAAAAGUCAAUACAGGAGCAAAAAUAGAUGCCCAGAUGUGUAGGUAAGGUUUCCAAAUAUUUCAAAUCCUCUGUCUAAGUUGUAAUUAGAAAUUAAUUCAUCAGUAAGCUGGAUAUGACCUUGCCAGGAGAAAGGAAGAAUCAAGCAGGCAGUGUCUUAAGCAGCUUAUUCCAGGGUAGGUGGUCUCUCAGUCUGGUACCCAUGCACCUUACAUUGAGGACAAACCAUACGAGCACAAAUCUUUACUCAUUAUUUAAUAUGGUCAUUUAGGAAGCAAAACAAAUAGAUAUUUAUUUUUACUAUCAUUUAGCUGCUCAUGUUUUGUAUUUGUCUAAACAAGGCAAAAGUACAAACUGCUUUUCCCACUGAGCUCCCAGGGAAUUUGGCAGAUUUCUGGUGCAUCUUUGGGUGUAAACCUGGGUUCACACCCACCCUUACUUGCAGCAGCCCCAUUCACAUAUUUGCAUUUAUAAACUGAGAUCCUGUCCUGCCUCCAUUUAUAGAUCAAAUGCAGUAAGUUUAGCAGUGAGAAGUGAAAAGAUUUCUGUAGCUGCUGGAACUGGGUGGGCUCUGCAAGCCCCAACUGCUCGUGGGUUUAUCAGCAGCAGCAGUAAAGUCCAUGGGGUUGAUGAGCAGAGACAUGACUCAACUUCCCUGUACAGCCUGGGAUUGUCUGUGAGGGUGAUCUCAGAGCUGAUGGGCAGAAGGAGAACCCUUUAACAGUCCUCACUUCCUCGGGUGCUGCUGCACUUCCAACACUUGCAGUGGGCAGGGAGCACCUCUGCUAACUCAAAGACCUCUUGUCGAAAGCAUAAUUAAUCCUUCAGAAUAGCCAUGGACUAUCCAAUGCUGCUUUGAAAAGAAAAGGAUUAGGUUCACGUGUCCUGGAAGAGAGUACCCAGAUUGGGUUUAUUGGAGGGUUUCAAAAGAGGUGGAAGGGAAGAGAGUGUGGAGCAAAUUCUUUUACUUGAGGUCCUUUGUCAACAGGAAGACAUGUGCAGCUCAGGGCACUGAGCAAAUGCCAAAGCAGGUACAAUCAUUGACAAAUAUGGCUGCAAGCCAGGCUCUCAGGCUGGAAGCUGCAAGAUAUCAAAUACUUUGUCAGUCUCAGUAAGCUGGUAAAUAAAGAGAAGAGUUUGGAGCUGAUCUUCACAAAGAGUGCUUUCAGCCCCAGCUCCUACUUCAAUACUCUGCAGCUGGGAGAGGGCACAGGGAGCCUCAUUUAUGCAUCCAGCAGCAGUUUAUGACAGGCUCCAUCUCAUCUCAAGCAUCUGACAUAGACACGCAUCAUUGUUCAAUUUGUAGAUUCUUGCAUCUAAAAGUUUAAUAAGCGCUUCAUUUGAUUUCUUAAUGCAUUUCACAGAAAGUGAACAUUUUUCCUGGCAGAGCAUGGACUCUGAGCUCUUUUAUCUGCGCCCCAUAAAGGGCUGGGAUGUCUCUUUGAGCUUGGCCAAUAAUUUGAAAGUAAUCCAGAUUUUGUUUUUCCUGCAGGUCUAAAUGAAAAGUGAAUGUUUUAAGUGGAGGAGUAAGAGGUACAUUGAAUUUGGAAAUAUGACCCAAGUAGCAGCUGAGCUGUGGAAAAAUUCAAGGAGUUAUUAAAUCUUUAAAACUCAAUUGUUUAGAAAUUAGGCACAUAGUUUUUAAAUGACAUUUUGGCAAAGCUGUGUAAGUUACCCUUCCCAUCAUAUAUUUUAUUAAACCUUUGCCAUAUGUCCAGUCUUAACUGGCCAGCAGUGUCCCCAGGAGUGUCCCCUGAUUGCCUCCAAACUCACUAAAUGACCAGAGCACAUGUUCAGCCAUUGCUCAUCAGCACUUGAAGAAGCCUUGGUGCUUGAUUCGAAAUUCCUGGCAGCAAAGGUGAACUCCUGCCAUUUUCCCUUAGCAGUGGGUCCUCGGGAAGGGAGGCCACUGGAGGAGAUGAUCUUUCUCUCCCAUGAUACUGCAAGUAUUAUAAGCUGAGCAGCUUUGAGUUUCUUAAGGCUGAGCUGCUUCUCUCACGCUGUAGGAGCAGAAGAACAUCUGGUCUUAGCUACUGUUUUUCAACUGGAUCAUCUUGUGCCUCACUAAAAUGAAUGAGAAACACAUGCAAACUGUAUUUUCAAAAAGUUGUAUUUCAUUGAUGCAACUCAAGUAGUGAUUUUCACAUGCAAUUAGAUACACAGAUGUAGACAACCAACAAUUUACACACACACACUACAUUUCCAACGAGGCCCUACGAGCAUUCCCAGAUGCUUUACACAUGGAAACAGGCACAUGGAGAGGAGGCAUGGGAAAGUAUUCACAUGUGCAAUUGUAUCUUCCCACAGCAAUGCCUGGGAAUUAGAAAGGACUGACUGAGACAAUAUUUUGGAUGUAAAAUCUGAUGACACUUUCAAUUCUGUUCUGCAGGCCCCACUAUAAAUAAUGCUAAUUAUUAAUUAUGAUCUGCCUACAACAGCACUUCCCCAGGCACUUUGCAACAGUGUAGAGAAAAAGAGCUGAAAUUGCCCUGGUGUUAUUCUGCUUUUGAGAAGAGUUUUGGAACAGCCAUCAGUGUCCAAAACACUGCAGGAACAAUAUAAAGAUGUCCUCAAGACAUUGAUGAAGAGUGAGAAACUGAAGAACAACUACAGCCCUCUGCUGUGGAGCCAGGGUGGGAGAGUUGGGUCUGCUCAUCCUGGAGAAGGGAGGACUCUAGGGAGACCUCAGAGCCCCUUCCAGUGUCUAAAGGGGCUCCAGGAGAGCUGGAGAGGGACUGGGGACAAGGGAUGGAGGGACAGGACACAGGGAAUGCCUUUAAGUGACAGAGGGCAGGAUUAGGUGGGACAUUGCGAAUAAAUUCUCUCCUGGGAGGGUGGGCAGGCCCUGGCACAGGUGCCCAGAGCAGCUGUG
Passer domesticus (house sparrow) is the source of this 9404-nucleotide long non-coding RNA. RefSeq lists it as uncharacterized. The transcript has 10 exons. NCBI's taxonomy places the organism in Eukaryota, Metazoa, Chordata, Aves, Passeriformes, Passeridae. The record is from RefSeq and is a predicted model, not a curated record.